GGGCCUGUAGCUCAGCGGAUAGAGCGCGAGGUUCCUAACCUCGAAGUCAAGGGUUCAAAUCCCUUCAGGUCCG
This 73-nucleotide transfer RNA is filed under the name Candidatus Nanohaloarchaea archaeon. Its description in RNAcentral is "tRNA-Arg". It matches the Rfam family "tRNA". Rfam says of the family: Transfer RNA (tRNA) molecules are approximately 80 nucleotides in length. Their secondary structure includes four short double-helical elements and three loops (D, anti-codon, and T loops). The record is from RNAcentral. Lineage: Archaea; Methanobacteriati; Methanobacteriota; Candidatus Nanohaloarchaea.